RNAcentral lists this ribosomal RNA (253 nucleotides) under uncultured bacterium. Its description in RNAcentral is "partial 16S ribosomal RNA". It matches the Rfam family "Bacterial small subunit ribosomal RNA", at positions 524 to 776 of the family's 1533-position model. The record is from RNAcentral.
UACGUAGGCAGCAAGCGUUGUUCGGAAUUACUGGGCGUAAAGAGUGUGUAGGCGGUUUUCUAAGGCUGGUGUGAAAUCUCCCGGCUUAACUGGGAGGGUGCGGCGGAAACUGGAAUGCUAGAGGAUGGGAGAGGUAAGCGGAAUUCCUGGUGUAGCGGUGAAAUGCGUAGAUAUCAGGAGGAACACCUGUGGUGUAGACAGCUUACUGGACCAUUUCUGACGCUGAGACACGAAAGCGUGGGUAGCAAACAGG